GGUAGUAGGGGUAUAAAGCAAGGUGUGAGCUCUCCCAGCCCUGAGUCACAAAGCCAGAGCUCAAAUCCACCCUGGUGCUAAAGCAGCAGCUGGAAUGCAAGGAGUUCAAGUCAUUUCAGGCUAGCCUGUCUCCUGUGCUGCUGCCAAGCCCACGGUGCCCAGGCUCAGGCCGGGGCAUGGGGUUUCCAGAUGACUGGGACAAGGAGCUGCCCACGCCCCUGCCCUCCCUGCAGGAGGCAUCUCUGGGGAGGCACCCCAGGGCCAACCCCCCCGGCAAGCUAGUGCUGUGCCCCAAGUGUGCCCCUGCUGCAUGUGUCCCAGGUGCUGUGCAAGGAGCUGUUUGCAUGUACUGAGGGGUGCCCGACCAACUAGGCCCUACUGCUGCUGAUCACCCUGGUGCACCUGCACUCCUGGCAGGAGACCCUGAGCUUUGACAAAUCAGGGGCCAAGCCCAGGCUGCCCCACAACCUUGGCUACCACCUGGAGGGCUACCUGUGGCUGCACUACACAUCCUUUCCCCCUGCAGUUGAAGAGGACAUCGCCACUGGCAUUGACACAUUCCUCAAUGUAUGAGAGGCCUGUGCCCACCUAGCUGUGGGGGUGUGGGCUGCUCAAUAAAGUUUUGCACUGUC
Alligator mississippiensis (American alligator) is the source of this 632-nucleotide long non-coding RNA. RefSeq lists it as uncharacterized. The transcript is spliced from 2 exons. The record is from RefSeq and is a predicted model, not a curated record. NCBI's taxonomy places the organism in Eukaryota, Metazoa, Chordata, Crocodylia, Alligatoridae.